AAACCACUGCAUUUAAGUUUGAGCUCAAAUUACAUGAAGCAAGGGAAGGAACGCAAUGGAGGCUUUUUGCUCAUUUUUGGGAAAUAGAAGACGAUGGGGAAAUUUAUCAGAGAAAAGCAGUCAAUCUGUAUCAUGUUUUUGUGACGUGAUUUGUUUAUGGAGUGAUACAUUUAUUUUUUUGUUUGAACUGAUGCAAUUUGAGGGUCUGGUGGAAUUCUGGAACUUUCCUAAAAGACCAAUGCAAGGUAUUUUUUUAAUUAGUCGUUUUCUCUACCACAGGGGUGGCCUACUUGUUAUUGCAGCGGAGAAAAGCAUCAGAAGGGCUUUGAAGGCGUGGAGCAGCCUCAAAGUUCUCAAGCUCUUCUGAAACGUAGCAGCUCACUGGGAAGCCCAAGAGGAGGAAGUGGUGCUUUCUAGAGGAGCUCAUGAGGACACCGUGGGCUGCAGGUUCUUGCCCAGUUUGGUUGUGGGAUUCUGGAAGAACAGCAGCCACAUGGAGGGAAGGGGUCAGACCCUCUGACUGUGCCCUAGGUGGCUGUGAUAGUCGCCAUCAUCUCUGGAUGACGACGUGAGCCCUGUGGCCUGAGGAUGCUGAACAGACAGUGGGCGGGGUGGACGGGAAGUGAGAACAGAGCGGAUGUGCUGAAGCUGCUGGUUCUUCGCUGUUCAGCAGGGUGGGUUCCCAAAGAUCCAGGGAGACUAGGUUUUAGGGUGGAUUUGAGGGUUAACUCCUAGAACAGUCCGGGGCGAGUUAUGGGUAAACACAGUGAUCAAGACCUUGAACUGGGGAUCACAGCAGGUUAAGAGUGACCCACCGUGUAGCUGCGAAACUUCUGGCUUCUUUUUACUUUGCCUCUGUUUCCUCUGUUUCCAACUAACCUGGUCAUGAAAUUGAGGGAUUUCUGAAGUUUAGAUCUUAGGUCCCUUUUUCUUCCUACUCCCCCACCUCCCCGUAAUCUAUCCUCAGGGGAUCUCACCCUUACCCACCGCUUCAUUACCCCAAAGUCCAGUUGUCUUACUAAUUUAUAUCGGAUUUAUAUCAUUAGCUCUGAAUUUCUGUGACUCCUGGCACAGAAGGCCUACUUGGCAUUUCUGCUGGGACGUCUCAAGUGUAUCUGACCCUGCACUUGUCUGAAGGCAGACGUGAUCCUCGCCAGGCCUGUCUCCUUCCUGUCUUGUGUGCUGCCAUGAAUUUUACCCCCCAGCAGCCCCCGACCCCACUGCUUUCUAGUCAGGGAACUUGGAGGCCUUCCUGGCCCUCAUGUCCCUCAGCCCCUUCCCAGGUUCUGAUGACCCCACGUCCACUUCUCAGACUCCACGCCUCCUCCAGGCCCGCCCGAGGCACCAUCACCUCUUGUGGGACUUGACAGCUGCCCCCUAAGGCCUUUUUGUGGCCCAUUGUGGCCCCAGCACAACCUGCUCCGCUGAUUAUGGAGUCAGAACCACCACUGGAAAAGGCAAAACUACAAAUCUUUUCAGGAAACCCACCCCCCUGGAAAAAAAAAACCCAAAACAGUGACCCCCAAAUACUCAUUGUAAUGAUUUAAUUCAAACUGUAAGCUCAAAGGCUUCAUUUAAGAUGGAAACUGCUUUCCUAGUGGAGCACAGAGCUCCCCUGGGCCUGUGUGGUCCUGAGUCCACCAGAGAUGCGGGCAGAGCUCAUGCCCAGGAUUCAGGGCUCCCCUCCUACCAGAUGACCCCCCCACCAUGGUUUCCAGCUGCUGAGGUUGCUCUGUCUCUGUGCCUCCUUCUUCAGUCCAAUAAGACUGCAAAUUUUCAUUUGCUCCCACGCACUACAGAUGGGGGCCUGCACUCAGGGCAGAAGAUGAAGCCGAGAAACUCACCCAGCUCCUGCCCCUUUUUCAAAUAUCACCACCCGCCCAGUAUCUGCCUGUUUUAGUCAUGUUCCAGCACCUCAGGCAGUUGCUGAUUAUAUCUGGUCUCAAGUUAGUAGUUUUAAAAAAUAGUUUAAGGGUGCUUUUUUUUUUUAUAAAUAAUUUGAGGGCAGGUUGGCCUCAUAGUAGCUACUGAGUCAUUACUGGGAGUGCAAACUCAAAUCUAAAAUCCUCGAGCUGGCCUUCAAGCUUCUGCAUGGCCUGUCUUUUACCUGCUCCUCCCUCUUCAUCCCGGAAGCGCUCCCCCAGCCCUCUUCGCUCUGGCCACACCUGCCUGUUCUUACGUCCUCAGAGGGGCCAUCCUCCUCUGCCCUCUUGGUGUCGCCCAGGUUUUCCUUCUCCAGGACCUGAGCGCUCCCUCCCUGCCCUCAGCACCACAGAGUUGAGGACAGAUGCUCUUCCUUAGGGGAGUCAGGCACUGCUUCCCCAGAAAAGGCUGCCUGUAUCCCCUCCAGACGCCCCCUCCAUUAUAUAUUGUGAGCACCAUGGACGUUUCCUUUGUGCAUUUCUAUUGGCUGUAAUUGGGCAUGUAUUUCUGGAACUCUGAUUCAUGUCUAUUUCCUCAGUCAGACUGUAGGCUGGUGAGGAUCUGGGACCGUUCUGAGGGGAAGACAGUGCGCCAUUCUCUCACCACUGCGGGUAACCCUGGGUCCACCCCAUGAAGUGCGCACCCAGCAAUUUACGUGCUUCGUGCAUAAGGCUCUCCAGACAUGCAUUAUGGAUUGAUUAACUUUUAAAACAAUUUAGCAGACUGUGGAAGCGUCAGGACAGCAGAAGCCUGUCCCUGUUGGUCAAGUGCUUUGUAAUUAUCAGAACACCAGAGUCUUUGGGCCUUGGGGAAGUGACCAGCAGAGAAAAUGCAGGCAAGGUCGUACACAUUUUGUCUGGAGAUUCCCUCUCUGUGGCUGCUAACCCCUUGUCCGUCAUCCAGUGCAAGAGGAGAAGAGGAAGACCGUGGGGCUGCCUCCGCGUCAGGUGGCUGUGGUGGAAGCGCAGCCAGGAGGCUGCCCGAGAUGGGACAGUAGCGGGGGGCACUGGAUCAGGCAGGGUGGUCUGGGUGGGCGGAGGCCGUGGUGGGAGUGGGGAGAGGGAGACUCAGAGGUUAUGGGUCAGGUCUGUGGACCGUCCAGCUUUGUCUCAGCCCCAGCUAUGUGGAUCUGCUCAGGACUGGUCCUGGGCAGCGGGCCACUUCCACCCUUCAGCAUCUGCUCCUGUAUCUGUGCUGCAUUUGCUUGACUCCUACCUCCUUUCCUGUACUUCUACUUAGCUUUCAAGAUUCUGGCCAAAGUUCCAUCCAUUGUCUUUUCUUUUCAAGCAAACCGACCUGUUUCCUUCCCUUCCUUCUUUCUCUCCUUCUUUCCUUCCUUCCUUCCUUCCCCUUUCUUUUUACACCUGUGUUAUGUCCACACAUUUUUCCAGUUAUGUUUAUUAUAACUUACUGCACUUGUUCACUUUCAUAUGUUUUCCCUGCUGGACUGUAAGCUCCUCAGGACAGAGUCCAGGUCAUAGUCACCUUUAUCCCUAGUGCGAGCUCAGUGACAAACACACAGUCAGUAUUGCAUAAACGGUCACGGUUAGAACAAGUGAGUAAAUGAUGACCGGUGACCAGGGUGGUUGUGGCGGUGGGGGACACCGCCUUCAAUAUACAGGUGGUGGACAAGCCUCAUGGGACGAGUAUUGGGUGAUGACAAAAGCAACGUGUGGAUAGUCAAAGUCUGGGGAGCGAACGUGGUAGGGGAGCAGGAGGAAAAGGCUUUGAAUUUCUCUGUGACCACAGAGCUGAUGGCACUGGGAGAGAUGGGAUGAGGUUUGCUAAAUCACUGUAGGGAUUAUUAGCAGUGGUGUGAUCAGGCUACCUUUCAGUUAAAAUAAAAGUGACGGCUGGAUAUGGACAACAGAAACUCCUUUGCCCUACUGAUGGAGUGUAAAUUGGUUCUAUUAUUUGGGAAGAGAGUUUGGCAGUAUCUACUCAAGUGAACACACAUAUACUUUGCCUUAGCAAUUUCACCCCUAACAGUAAUGCACAUGUGUAUGCAACAAACAACGUGUGUGGGAAUGUUCCCAAUGAAAUGAGACAUUAAAGUCCUAAAUGGGAAGCAACCCCAAUGUCCAUUAAUAGUAGAACGAAUAGAUUUUGGUAAAUUCAGUAAUGCAACAAGCCUCUAUAUAGCCAUGGGAAUCACUGAAACACUGCAGAAUGAAACAGCAUGGGUAAAUCUCACAAAGACAAUGUGAAAAGAAAGAAGUCAGACAGAAAAGAAUAUUGGACUGUGAGAGUCACUAUUUUAUAAAGCUUAAGGGAAAGGGAAAGUCUGUGGUGUUAAAGGCCAGGAGAGUUGUUAUAUUUGGGGAAAAAUUGGGAGGCAUUAGUAGGGAGGAUGCUUGAGGGGAUUUCUUGGGGGGGGUGUUCUGCUUCUUGACCUCGGUGAUGGUUACAUGGAUGUAAUCUUGAUAGUUCACUGAAAUGCACACAUAAGCCUUGUGAUGUCUCCAUACGUGUGUCAAACUGCAAUAAAAUAACUUGUUUCCAAUGUA
Vicugna pacos (alpaca) is the source of this 4430-nucleotide non-coding RNA. The record is from RefSeq and is a predicted model, not a curated record. Lineage: Eukaryota; Metazoa; Chordata; Mammalia; Artiodactyla; Camelidae.